Molecule: unclassified non-coding RNA, 321 nt
Filed under: uncultured fungus
Lineage: Eukaryota; Fungi
Description: partial internal transcribed spacer 1
Source: RNAcentral
GUUCAGAACGCCGCAAAAUACCGCGCUGAUGCGUUUUUAUGAGGCGCGCCAGCUUAUUCUGAGCGGCGAUGCGCAGGCGCUAGGUAAAGCCAGCGAUAUUCUGAAUGGCAUUAUUAAGGAAACGCCUGAUUUCAACUAUGCCUAUGAAUAUAAAGUGCUGGUAGAUGUAUUACGGCAAUCACAACAGCCGUUUGAUAAAGAACAAGUGGCUGCGCUGAACGAAGAGUUUAAAAAAAUAGAUCAAAUUCCGGGCGUUGAGAAAACGUCUGUUUAUUAUAAAAUCAAGACCGUUGAUCUGUUAGGCAAAGGUGAUAUCGAUGC